CAAAAUGCGCAUAUUCAAAAGAUCCUUGACUUCCUUUUAUUGCCAUCAUUCUUUAGGCUAACUAGUAGACCAUAAUGAAUUGCAACUUUCCAACAAACUCAUCAUAUCACUAAUCUGCAUUCACUUAGCAAUUAUCUUGCACAAGUGACGUUAGUCCACAUAUAAUAUAAUCAUGGUAUCACAGCACAGAUAGUUGUAUUGUGUGUGCCUUGUAUCAUGAGAGGUAAUAAUUUGGAUACCAAAUAUGACUCUAGCAAACAGAUAUUAAAAUAAUAUGCUAGUCAGAAGUCAUACCAUGUCCGUGACUAUCAUCAGGUCUUGGAUAACAACUCAUAGAGAGCUGGUGAAGAAAGAGCAUACAAAUUCUGUUGGAUCUGCAACUGCAAAGUCCUUGAAAUGUUGUAUGAAGCUUCAUCUUCUAGCUCACUGUAAUAUCCUGAACCCAAGUCUCGUCAAUGGCGCUUUAGUUCAAUUUUGAAGGUCGUUAAGUCCUCUAAGAUGUAGAGUCCUGAACUUGAAGAUUCUAUUUCUGUCAUCUUCAUAACCUUCUCUUUUGAAGUAACUCUAAGCAACCAAAUUGGCUUGUCCCUCGUAACAGAGCCAAAAACAUCCAGUUGGAAUCUGAAUAUCCGACAAGUACUAGGUACUGAAUUGUCUUUAGAUCAGGGUAUCAGAAUCCACACAAUCUGCUUUCCAACUUGAUUGAGAUCAUAUUGCUGUGCAAUCACUCAAUCUGGAUCCCUUUAAGAGCUUCUGAAUCUUCCUUAAGUUUCACUUCAUAUUGAAACCCAAAGAAAUAACAUCCUUUCACAAUAGCUCUCCCAGUCUUCACUUCACCAUUAGGAACAUUUAAGAACUAGAGAACCCAGGAAUGAUAUUGACUUCAAACCUUUUGUCUAAGCAGAUACGUUCUUCAUAUGUCCUGUUCAUCUUGUGUGGUGUUGAGUUUGACUAGUAGAUCCACCAAAUGCUCCCCCUAAGCUGUUGCUGAGAUUUCUUUAAUAAUCCUUAUCCUUGCAAAGAGAUUCCGCUUGGAUCUGAAUCAUCAUUAUACCAAUAAUAUCACCUUUAACAGCUUGGAGCAAAGUGUUGUUCAACGUCCCAUCCAGACUUACAAUCACCUUCUGUUGAUCAAUCAUAAUCACCCUGUAGACUAUAGACUCCAUUGAGUAGCUGAGGAAAAUAUUCUUUGAUUUUCAAAUGCAAGACUUUCAAAGAGGCAUUUUCCUCCAAACACAUACCAAGAGUUAGUGUUUGCUUCUGAUUGGCCACUGGAAAGAAUGGUGUCUUUCUGGAUUUAUCAAUGAUCAGGGUUCAUCUUGAUCAACCUUCAUUUGUGACAUCUUGUCCUUCGAACACAUAUGAACAACACAAAAGACUCUAGAGUAGUCAACGAUCAUCACAAAAAGAUAUCUGGCUUUGUUGUAGAUAUAACAUUAACUGAUCCGUAGAAAUCCAUAUGUAUCAUCUGAAGCGGCUCAGAAAUGUUGAUCAUAUCUUUGCUUCUUUGUGAUGCUCCUUCGACUUCCCUAUUGACAUACCUCAUAAGCUUCAUCCAUAUAGAAUCCCAGAUGAGGUAGUCCUCUCACUAAUUCUCUUCUUACGAAUAAAAAGAGCUCCUUGUUUUGACAUACAAGUGUGAGAGCUUCAUGUUCCAUAGCUAACACUCAUCCGAUGAAGCUUUACUAUCGAAAUAGCUCACUUCAUCUUCAGUUGAAGUUCCAUAUUAGCUACGAGCAGAUUCACAUCUUUCCUGAUUUGAGAUAAAGCACUAUUCCAUGAA
Molecule: long non-coding RNA, 1783 nt
Filed under: Daucus carota (carrot)
Lineage: Eukaryota; Viridiplantae; Streptophyta; Magnoliopsida; Apiales; Apiaceae
Description: long non-coding RNA (DCAR_LNC007555)
Source: RNAcentral